Molecule: ribosomal RNA, 274 nt
Filed under: uncultured bacterium
Lineage: Bacteria
Description: partial 16S ribosomal RNA
Rfam family: Bacterial small subunit ribosomal RNA
Source: RNAcentral
AUACGGAGGGAGCUAGCGUUGUUCGGAAUUACUGGGCGUAAAGGGCGCGUAGGCGGCCGAUCCAGUCAGGCGUGAAAGCCCCGGGCUCAACCUGGGAAUUGCGUUUGAUACUGAUUGGCUGGAGUCCGGGAGAGGGUAGUGGAAUUCCCAGUGUAGAGGUGAAAUUCGUAGAUAUUGGGAAGAACACCGGUGGCGAAGGCGGCUACCUGGCCCGGUACUGACGCUGAGGCGCGAAAGCGUGGGGAGCAAACAGGAUUAGAAACCCCAGUAGUCC